GCCAUCCUUCUGGGUCGUUUUGAGUGCUGUUUGGAUCUCAAUGUGAUCAUCUGGGGAAUGUGCUCUCUUUUCAUUGGCGUCAUCUGAAAUAGAAUAAGCACGUGCUGCUUGUCUUCAUCUAAGAGCUUCCAGCAGUUCAUCAACAGAGGCAAGCGCCAGAACCCAGAGCUGCCUGAAGCAGACAGGAUGCACUUGGACGUUCGAGUAAAAAGCUGGAAGGUCAUCCUCUUCAAGGGAGCAAGGAUGGACACACAGUAGCUGCGUCUGGUGACACCGCCCCACCUUCCUGGCCCUUUCCUGCUUCUCGUCUUGAUUGUGGAUUGCCAGAUGAAUGAGAAACCUCAGCCCCAGGGCUUCAGCAGUCCCCACAGUGAAUCUACACGUGCCUUGGCUGCCUGAGGAUUCGAUGUCGUCAGCAGUGGUCAGGUCACCACCUCUCCACAUGUACAAGUCCUUGACUACCCACACCGGUCACAUGUUCCCCACCCUCUAGGGUCACGGUGAUAGUCUCUUGCAGCCAUAGAGCUCUGCUCCUCUUUAGUGGCUUUUCUUUUUUUUUUUUUUUUUUGAGACAGAGUCUCGCUUAUCGCCCAGGCUGGAGUGCAGUGGUGCAAUCUUGGCUCACUGCAAUCUCCACCUCCUGGGUUUAAGCAAUUCUUCUGCCUCAGCCUCCCAAGUAGCUUGGAUUACAGGUGUCUGCCACCACACACGGCUAAUUUUUGUAUUUUUAGUAGAUACAGGAUUUCACCACGUUGGCCAGGCUGGUCUUGAACUCCUGACCUCAAGUGAUCUGCCUGCCUCGGCCUGCCAAAGUGCUGGAAUUAUAGGCUUGAGCUACCGCGCCCGGUCCUUUAGUGGCUUUUCACAGACACAGCCCCAUGUUUCCCUGAGAGUUAGAAUGUGCUCCCAACUCUCCAAAUCCUAGAGUGCAGGUCCAACCCUCCUAACGAUGGCUUCCUCCCUGCCAGUCCCAAUUCCCCCCAGAGCACCUGGGAGCCCCGUGGAAGAAGCAUGAGACUUGGCGCCAGGUGGAUGGGGCUCCAGCCCCGGCUGGCCGAUUCCUAGCUGUUCAUUAACCUCUCUGACCUUGGUCUCCUGCUAUGCAAAAUAGGAAUAAUGGGUUUUGUGAGGUUAGAGUGAGACAAAGCAGUAAGGAGCUGGGACAGGGCUAGUCACGCUGUUAGCCCCCUGUUAUCAGCACUACUAUUGUGUCCAUUCCACACCUGCAAUUUCUUCAUCUGCGUCUAGGGAACUGAUUUCCUUUUUCACCUCCUUCUUUUGCCAGGAAGGGAAGUAUAUACACUGUAGAUACCAUUUCAUC
Long non-coding RNA from Pan troglodytes (chimpanzee), 1321 nucleotides. RefSeq lists it as uncharacterized. NCBI's taxonomy places the organism in Eukaryota, Metazoa, Chordata, Mammalia, Primates, Hominidae. The transcript is spliced from 3 exons. The record is from RefSeq and is a predicted model, not a curated record.